Molecule: long non-coding RNA, 275 nt
Organism: Suricata suricatta (meerkat)
Lineage: Eukaryota; Metazoa; Chordata; Mammalia; Carnivora; Herpestidae
Exons: 3
Source: RefSeq, a predicted model, not a curated record
AAAAGAUUACAAAACACUAUGACAUUUACAUCCAUUUGGCCACAGAACACACACACAAACACAGAAGCAGAAACAUCCAACUAUGAAGGCUCUAAACGACAGCAUGAAGAAAAGGAAAGAAAAAACAACAAGUUAAUCUAUAGUGAGAUUUAUCUUACAAAAAUGGAAUUUUCUAACCCUGAUAAGAAGAUAAUGGUCCAGAAAUACAAUGCGUGGAGUUUCAAAAAUGUCUGAAUCCAAUGUAAUAAAAGUAUAUUAUUCAUCUUUAUUCCUAA